GUGACCACGUGCCGGACCCGGCGGCGGGUCUCGUCGUCGUCGAGGCGGGCCAGCGCGGCGUCCAGGUCGCCGGUGGCGACG
This 81-nucleotide transfer RNA is filed under the name Nonomuraea sp. TT08I-71. Its description in RNAcentral is "tRNA-Asp". Lineage: Bacteria; Bacillati; Actinomycetota; Actinomycetes; Streptosporangiales; Streptosporangiaceae. The record is from RNAcentral.